CCCCCCCCAAGGGGGGGGGGGGCCUUUCCCUUCCGGGGGGGGCACAGUGGGGAAUAUUGCACAAUGGGCGCAAGCCUGAUGCAGCAACGCCGCGUGAGGGAUGACGGCCUUCGGGUUGUAAACCUCUUUUAGUAGGGAAGAAGCGAAAGUGACGGUACCUGCAGAAAAAGCACCGGCUAACUACGUGCCAGCAGCCGCGGUAAUACGUAGGGUGCAAGCGUUGUCCGGAAUUAUUGGGCGUAAAGAGCUCGUAGGCGGCUUGUCGCGUCUGCUGUGAAAUCCCGGGGCUCAACCCCGGGCCUGCAGUGGGUACGGGCAAGCUAGAGUGCGGUAGGGGAGAUUGGAAUUCCUGGUGUAGCGGUGGAAUGCGCAGAUAUCAGGAGGAACACCGAUGGCGAAGGCAGAUCUCUGGGCCGCUACUGACGCUGAGGAGCGAAAGCAUGGGGAGCGAACAGGAUUAGAUACCCUGGUAGUCCAUGCCGUAAACGUUGGGAACUAGAUGUAGGGCCUGUUCCACGGGUUCUGUGUCGUAGCUAACGCAUUAAGUCCCCGCCUGGAGACGCCGACUGG
Molecule: ribosomal RNA, 570 nt
Filed under: Leucobacter aridicollis
Lineage: Bacteria; Bacillati; Actinomycetota; Actinomycetes; Micrococcales; Microbacteriaceae
Description: partial 16S ribosomal RNA
Rfam family: Bacterial small subunit ribosomal RNA
Source: RNAcentral